GCGCUUGCUUCGGAAGCACAUACGCUAAAAUUGGAACAAUACAGAGAUUAGCUUGGCCCCUGCUCAAGGAUGACACACAAAUUCAUGAAGUGUUCCAUAUUUUU
Small nuclear RNA from Nycticebus coucang (slow loris), 104 nucleotides. The record is from RefSeq and is a predicted model, not a curated record. Lineage: Eukaryota; Metazoa; Chordata; Mammalia; Primates; Lorisidae.